Molecule: small RNA, 414 nt
Filed under: Pongo abelii (Sumatran orangutan)
Lineage: Eukaryota; Metazoa; Chordata; Mammalia; Primates; Hominidae
Description: processed transcript
Source: RNAcentral
UGAAGUACAUGCGAGAAGCCACGCCCUAUGUGAAGAAAGGAUCCCCAGUAUCCGAGAUUGGGUGGGAAACACCUCCGCCUGAAUCCCCUCGGUUAGGGGGCAGCACCUCAGACCCCCCGUCAUCGCAGUCCUUCUCCUUCCACAGAGACCGGAAAAGCAUCCCCCUCAAAAUGUGCUACGUCACUCGGAGUAUGGCCUUGGCCGACCCUGAGAACAGCCAUAGGAAUCACAGAUUUGAGGAACUGAAAGCGACCAUAAUGAUCAUGUGGUUUGAAUUCUCCUGGAUUCCCCGAAGUUGCUGCAAGCCAGCAAGACUUCAUCCUCCUGACUAGUUUCAUCUGUGUUUUCUCCAGAGUCACUUGGAGGGGAAAGGCAGCUUGAAAUCCACUCUCCAGAUGCUAAGCACACGGUGAU